RNAcentral lists this ribosomal RNA (255 nucleotides) under uncultured bacterium. RNAcentral's name for it is "partial 16S ribosomal RNA". It matches the Rfam family "Bacterial small subunit ribosomal RNA", at positions 524 to 776 of the family's 1533-position model. The record is from RNAcentral.
UACGUAGGGUGCAAGCGUUUGUCCGGAAUUAUUGGGCGUAAAGAGCUCGUAGGCGGUCUGUCGCGUCGAAUGUGAAAACCCGGGGCUCAACCCCGGGCCUGCAUUCGAUACGGGCAGACUAGAGUUCGGUAGGGGAGACUGGAAUUCCCGGUGUAGCGGUGAAAUGCGCAGAUAUCGGGAGGAACACCGGUGGCGAAGGCGGUUCUCUGGGCCUGUACUGACGCUGAGGAGCGAAAGCGUGGGGGAGCGAACAGG